GCGGAAUUGACGGCUUCAGCAGUGAUUCCAUUGCAGCGAACGGACUUAGAGGAGAUUAAAGAAGGAUUAGCGGGUCGGACCAAGGUCGAGUAGCUCCGGAGCUCCUCCAGCUUCCUGGAGCAUACAAGGAUGGCUCCGAAUUCCAGUAUCGCAAAACCCUGACCGGGCCGGGUGGGAACCGUCGUUUCGAGGUCGAAGAAGACAAUCUCGGAUCUAUCCUCGCUUAGCUCAGAACCCAUCAUCCUCCGGUAUCUUCG
This 257-nucleotide unclassified non-coding RNA is filed under the name Hevea brasiliensis (rubber tree). Lineage: Eukaryota; Viridiplantae; Streptophyta; Magnoliopsida; Malpighiales; Euphorbiaceae. The record is from RNAcentral.